GUAGGUGAACCUGCGGAAGGAUCAUUAUCGUUGGGCUUCUGCCCCUCGAGAUAGCACCCUUUGGCUAUUAGUACCUAUUGUUUCCUCAGCAAGAUGCCUUGCUAAUGGGGACCCUAUAAACCCUUUUGUAGUAGCACUACACAUUGAAUACUCAAUAUAUUACAACUUUCAACAACGGAUCUCUUGGCUCUGGCAUCGAUGAAGAACGCAGCAUCUGACUGACUGAACUGUAUCUCAUCUCGUAUGCCGU
RNAcentral lists this unclassified non-coding RNA (250 nucleotides) under plant metagenome. RNAcentral describes it as "partial contains small subunit ribosomal RNA, internal transcribed spacer 1, and 5.8S ribosomal RNA". The record is from RNAcentral.